GGUACCUUGGCCGAGUGGUCUAAGGCGUCUGACUCAAGAUCAGUUCUACAUCGUAGGCGUGGGUUCGAAUCCCACAGGUACCA
This 83-nucleotide transfer RNA is filed under the name Vairimorpha apis BRL 01. RNAcentral's name for it is "tRNA-Leu (CAA) (tRNA-Leu-CAA-1-1)". It matches the Rfam family "tRNA". From Rfam's summary of the family: Transfer RNA (tRNA) molecules are approximately 80 nucleotides in length. Their secondary structure includes four short double-helical elements and three loops (D, anti-codon, and T loops). The record is from Rfam by way of RNAcentral. Lineage: Eukaryota; Fungi; Microsporidia; Nosematidae.